UACGCAGGGUGCAAGCGUUAAUCGGAAUUACUGGGCGUAAAGCGUGCGUAGGCGGUUUCUUAAGUCUGCUGUGAAAGCCCCGGGCUCAACCUGGGAAUGGCGGUGGAUACUGAGGAGCUGGAGUACGGUAGAGGAAGGUGGAAUUCCCGGUGUAGCGGUGAAAUGCGUAGAGAUCGGGAGGAACAUCAGUGGCGAAGGCGGCCUUCUGGACCAGUACUGACGCUGAGGCGCGAAAGCGUGGGUAGCAAACGGG
RNAcentral lists this ribosomal RNA (253 nucleotides) under uncultured bacterium. RNAcentral's name for it is "partial 16S ribosomal RNA". It matches the Rfam family "Bacterial small subunit ribosomal RNA", at positions 524 to 776 of the family's 1533-position model. The record is from RNAcentral.